Molecule: transfer RNA, 76 nt
Filed under: Neobacillus ginsengisoli
Lineage: Bacteria; Bacillati; Bacillota; Bacilli; Caryophanales; Bacillaceae
Description: tRNA-Thr
Rfam family: tRNA
About the family: Transfer RNA (tRNA) molecules are approximately 80 nucleotides in length. Their secondary structure includes four short double-helical elements and three loops (D, anti-codon, and T loops).
Source: RNAcentral
GCCGGUUUAGCUCAAUUGGUAGAGCAACUGACUUGUAAUCAGUAGGUUGGGGGUUCAAGUCUUCUAGCCGGCACCA